UGGAGGUGGAAUUGGCCAGGCUGGCUAAU
This 29-nucleotide non-coding RNA is filed under the name Homo sapiens (human). The record is from RNAcentral. Lineage: Eukaryota; Metazoa; Chordata; Mammalia; Primates; Hominidae.